RNAcentral lists this transfer RNA (38 nucleotides) under Togula jolla. RNAcentral's name for it is "partial Selenocysteine transfer RNA". Lineage: Eukaryota; Dinophyceae; Gymnodiniales; Gymnodiniaceae. The record is from RNAcentral.
UGGCGGUCACAGACUUCAAAUCCGAGGCUGCCCUAUCA